Molecule: ribosomal RNA, 463 nt
Filed under: uncultured bacterium
Lineage: Bacteria
Description: bacterial SSU rRNA
Rfam family: Bacterial small subunit ribosomal RNA
Source: RNAcentral
AUUGAACGCUGGCGGCAUGCCUUACACAUGCAAGUCGAACGGCAGCACGGGAGCAAUCCUGGUGGCGAGUGGCGAACGGGUGAGUAAUGUAUCGGAACGUACCUUUCAGUGGGGGAUAACGUAGCGAAAGUUACGCUAAUACCGCAUAUUCUGUGAGCAGGAAAGCAGGGGAUCGCAAGACCUUGCGCUGAUUGAGCGGCCGAUAUCAGAUUAGCUAGUUGGUGAGGUAAAGGCUCACCAAGGCGACGAUCUGUAGCGGGUCUGAGAGGAUGAUCCGCCACACUGGAACUGAGACACGGUCCAGACUCCUACGGGAGGCAGCAGUGGGGAAUUUUGGACAAUGGGCGCAAGCCUGAUCCAGCCAUGCCGCGUGAGUGAAGAAGGCCUCGGUUGUAAGACUCUUUCAGUCCGGAGAAACGACGAUGGUUAAGUAACCUCGUGUGGAGUGACGGUACCGGAACGU